GCCAGCAGCCAUAUCACCCUGCAACUCACAACUGGCAACUCACUGAAGCUAAGCAGGUGUAAGUCUGGUCAGUACCUGGAUGGGAGACCUCCUGGGAAAAACUAAGGUUGCUGUUGGAA
RNAcentral lists this ribosomal RNA (119 nucleotides) under Lepisosteus oculatus (spotted gar). Lineage: Eukaryota; Metazoa; Chordata; Actinopteri; Semionotiformes; Lepisosteidae. The record is from RNAcentral.